RNAcentral lists this ribosomal RNA (332 nucleotides) under uncultured bacterium. RNAcentral describes it as "bacterial SSU rRNA". It matches the Rfam family "Bacterial small subunit ribosomal RNA", at positions 568 to 898 of the family's 1533-position model. The record is from RNAcentral.
UCCGCAGGUGGCCUGGCAAGUCUGAUGUGAAAUCCCGGAGCUCAACUCCGGAACUGCAUUGGAAACUGCCGGGCUAGAGUAUCGGAGAGGAGAUUGGAAUUCCAGGUGUAGCGAUAAAAUGCGUAGAUAUCUGGAAGAACAUCGAAAGCGAAGGCAGAUCUCUGGACGGUCACUGACACUCAGGGACGAAAGCAUGGGGAGCAAACAGGAUUAGAUACCCUGGUAGUCCAUGCCCUAAACGGUGUGAACUUGAUGUGGAGGGAUUUACUCCCCUCCGUGUCGAAGCUAACGCGUUAAGUUCACCGCCUGGGAACUACGGCCGCAAGGCUAAA